CCUGCGUCAGGAGUGAACGCUGCGGCGUGCUACACAUGCAAGUCGAACGGGGCGACCAUUUUGUAAGACGAUUAGCUUGCUAAGAGUGGAAAGUGUUGGCGGCGUUAGUGGCGGACGGGUGAGUAACGCGUGGGUAACCUGCCAUAUACAGGGGAGUAACACUUAGAAAUAGGUGCUAUACCGCAUAAGCGCACGGAGCUGCAUGGCUCAGUGUGAAAAACUCCGGUGGUAUAUGAUGGACCCGCGUCUGAUUAGCUUGUUGGCGGGGUAACGGCCCACCAAGGCGACGAUCAGUAGCCGGCCUGAGAGGGUGGACGGCCACAUUGGGACUGAGACACGGCCCAAACUCCUACGGGAGGCAGCAGUGGGGAAUAUUGGACAAUGGGGGGAACCCUGAUCCAGCGACGCCGCGUGAGUGAAGAAGUAUCUCGGUAUGUAAAGCUCUAUCAGCAGGGAAGAAAGAAAUAACGGUACCUGACCAAGAAGCCCCGGCUAACUACGUG
RNAcentral lists this ribosomal RNA (503 nucleotides) under uncultured Lachnospiraceae bacterium. Its description in RNAcentral is "bacterial SSU rRNA". It matches the Rfam family "Bacterial small subunit ribosomal RNA", at positions 18 to 507 of the family's 1533-position model. Lineage: Bacteria; Bacillati; Bacillota; Clostridia; Lachnospirales; Lachnospiraceae. The record is from RNAcentral.